This is a long non-coding RNA of Sycon ciliatum, 1816 nucleotides long. RefSeq lists it as uncharacterized. The record is from RefSeq and is a predicted model, not a curated record. Lineage: Eukaryota; Metazoa; Porifera; Calcarea; Leucosolenida; Sycettidae. The transcript has 2 exons.
GGCCUUUGGAGACAUCGUGGGAACUCCUUCCGGUACUAUACAAGCUGCUGACGUGGCCGUGGACAUGUACAUGGAGUCAUGGUGGGACUUCAUGUACAUGGAUACAUGGUGGGAAUUCCUUCCAGCACCCCCGUACCGCAAAGCCAACGGUGGGGAAGGAGAAGAGCAGACGUGCAGGAAGACGAACGAGGAGAAACCAGGACGAGCGAGCAAUGGCAGGACUAGCUGGACCGUAAGUAGUAGCUGAAUUGUGCAUGACAACUUGACAUCCGUGCGGCACUCGCCACUUGCCACUGCAUAUUAUUUUCUUGUCCACUAACAAUGUCUCUCCUCUGCCCCCUGUGUGUCCACGGCCCUGUUGCUGAAUUGGCCCGAUGAAUCGAAUGUCUUCCGCAACUGGAACGGCCCAGUAAACGAUGUCGCGUCAGCGACUGAAUGCGCUGGAGGGAAAAUAUUGCUGCGAAGACGUUUCCUCUAGACCACGGUAUAUCAUCCCGUGACGACCACAUUGAAGUCUGAAUUUGAAGUGUGAAGAUGCUUCAGCAACCACAUCGUACUUUUCCAUUGCUUUCAUUAUGCUUCUACUGUGCAUGUGUGUAACUUGUGGGGUAAACAUGUGAUGACAUUGUAUGCUAGCGACACGGUCAGAUGUUGUCCAUGCGUCUAACGUACACGUGCAUGUUAUGCAUUGAAAAGGAUUUGCCACUUGCGAUCCUGGGACGAGUAUCAGGUCAGCUUUGUCCUGUCUGGGCUGUAUCAGAUUGCUGUUCACUUCUCUAUCUGUUGGAUGUGUGACUUUCUGCAAGUUUCUGGUGUAUGAUGGCCACUUCCUUUCUUGUCACUUUGUAUGAUAUGUUAGGUUCACGAUUUCACAUAUGCACGCACUCGCACACUCGUACGCACUCGCACCCUCGAACUCACCUUUACAGGCGCGCACUCACUUUCACUCUCGUACUCACCUUUUCGGGCGCGCACUCACUUUCACUCUCGUACUCACCUUUACAGGCGCGCACUCACUUUCACUCUCGCACUCACCUUUACAGGCGCGAACUCACCUUUCCGGGCGCGCACUCACUUCCACUCUCGUACUCACCUUUUCAGGCGCGGACUUACCUUUACUCUCGUACUCACCUUUACAGGCGCGAACUCACCUUUUUUUUUUUUUUUUUUUUACAUCAAAAACAGCCUCUUUUACGGGCAAGAUUAAACAUUAAAAGCAACACAAUGAUGAGAAAACAAGAGGGGUAAACACAAUAACUUUAUCAACGCUGUUGACUCACGCAUACACACAUACACACACACACACACACAAGAUAACAAUGAUACUCAGUACCUAGACUGCAGGAGUUGCAAAGAAAGUUAAAUCAAUGCAGCCUCCGCGUUUGCGAGGACAGCAGACUGAUCAUUGACGCGGCGCAUCCGCCGGGCACCACGAAGGCACCUUUUAGGGCGCGCACUCACAUUCACUCGACGUACUCACCUUCACAGCCUCGUACUCACCCUGGUUGCUUUUACUAAUCUUUUCUUUCUUUGGCCUGGGUAGCUGGACUCGCGCUUUAGCACAUUUAUCUCCAUAGCUACCCAGGCCCUAGAUAAGCUCUUGCUGGAGCAUUUGCUCUCCCCCUUCUACCUCUUCUUGUCUUUACUGUAUUCGCUGCUUCCAUGGCGUGGUCUGCAAACUGCAAUCCUUGGGCAAAUGUCAUGUUUGCUAUGUUGUGCUUUGGCCGUCAGCUUGUCUACACGCUGUAGUUGAAUUAUUUUUGUUUCACAACUGACUUCCUCAAGUACGGUGGCCACUGCUUUGCAUGGCAUUAUA